CAGUAGCGUAUAUUAAAGUUGUUGCGGUUAAAAAGCUCGUAGUUGGAUUUCUGUCGGUGAGAGGCGGUCAGCCCUAGUGGUUUGCACACGUCGCACCAUCGGCAUCUCUGUGGGGAACGUGUCUGCACUUCAGUGUGUGGCGUGUGAUCCAGGACAUUUACUUUGAGGAAAUUACAGUGUUCCAAGCAGGCUUGCGCUCUAUGAAUACGUUAGCAUGGAAUAAUAGCAUCGGACCUCGACCUAAAAGACUGUUGGUUUCUUGGGUCGAGGUAAAGAUGAAUAGGGAUUGUUGGGGGCGAUCAGUAUUCUGAAGCGAGAGGUGAAAUU
RNAcentral lists this ribosomal RNA (327 nucleotides) under uncultured eukaryote. RNAcentral's name for it is "bacterial SSU rRNA". It matches the Rfam family "Eukaryotic small subunit ribosomal RNA", at positions 592 to 918 of the family's 1831-position model. The record is from RNAcentral.